AGGAUUAACGCUGGCGGCGUGCCUAACACAUGCAAGUCGAACGAGGUAGCAAUACCUAGUGGCAGACGGGUGAGUAACGCGUGGUCAACCUACCGUUGAGCGGGGGAUAACUAGCCGAAAGGUUAGCUAAUACCGCAUACGUCUAGCACGGCAUCGUGCAAAGAUAAAAGCCGCAAGGCACUCGACGACGGGACCGCGUCCCAUUAGUUAGUUGGUGGGGUAACGGCCUACCAAGACUCCGAUGGGUAGCUGGUUUGAGAGAGCGACCAGCCACACUGGGACUGAGAAACGGCCCAGACUCCUACGGGAGGCAGCAGUGAGGAAUUUUCCGCAAUGGGCGAAAGCCUGACGGAGCGACGCCGCGUGUGGGAAGAAGGCCUUCGGGUCGUAAACCACUGUCGAAGGGGAAGAUAUUGACGGUACCCUUGGAGGAAGCCCCGGCUAACUACGUGCCAGCAGCCGC
This 463-nucleotide ribosomal RNA is filed under the name uncultured bacterium. RNAcentral's name for it is "SSU rRNA". It matches the Rfam family "Bacterial small subunit ribosomal RNA", at positions 26 to 518 of the family's 1533-position model. The record is from RNAcentral.